GAUGAACGCUGGCGGCGUGCCUAAUACAUGCAGGUCGAGCGAACAGACGAGGAGCUUGCUCCUCUGACGUUAGCGGCGGACGGGUGAGUAACACGUGGAUAACCUACCUAUAAGACUGGGAUAACUUCGGGAAACCGGAGCUCAUACCGGAUAAUAUAUUGAACCGCAUGGUUCAAUAGUGAAAGACGGUUUUGCUGUCACUUAUAGAUGGAUCCGCGCCGCAUUAGCUAGUUGGUAAGGUAACGGCUUACCAAGGCAACGAUGCGUAGCCGACCUGAGAGGGUGAUCGGCCACACUGGAACUGAGACACGGUCCAGACUCCUACGGGAGGCAGCAGUAGGGAAUCUUCCGCAAUGGGCGAAAGCCUGACGGAGCAACGCCGCGUGAGUGAUGAAGGUCUUCGGAUCGUAAAACUCUGUUAUUAGGGAAGAACAAAUGUGUAAGUAACUAUGCACGUCUUGACGGUACCUAAUCAGAAAGCCACGGCUAACUACGUG
RNAcentral lists this ribosomal RNA (497 nucleotides) under uncultured bacterium. Its description in RNAcentral is "partial 16S ribosomal RNA". It matches the Rfam family "Bacterial small subunit ribosomal RNA", at positions 28 to 507 of the family's 1533-position model. The record is from RNAcentral.